CUCCUAUCUAGCUAGCUGUUCACUGUUUGUACGUAUACUGUAGCUACACAUAUUUUACUUCACUUUCAGGAUCGUUAUGCUGAUAUUUAACUUAACAGGAUGAUGCAACAUCAAAGUCUACAUUCCAGUUGAUACUAAACUUGACACACCUUUGUUUGAGAGCUGAUUCUAGUGUUUUCUGAAGCUGCCGAGGAACCUGCUAUGCAUAAAGGUGUUGAUAAUCCUGCAGAUUAAAGUCACCAAGACCAGAAAAUCAUGCAUUUCACUUGUGCAAUUAAUGUCAGCCCUGGGACCUGCGAGCAACUCAUGACGAGGAUCAUCAACUCCAACGAAGGCGCCAGCGGUUCAGAGGUGAAUGUCAUGCCCAACAUGGUCUUAAGCCCUGGGAGCAACUGAACCUACCAAUGCCACAUCUAUCAAGACGUGAAAGCACUUCAUGUGAUAAUUUAAAAUAUACACAUAUGUGAGUUUUACAAAGUGGAUAUAUAGAAUAACCUAGAAGCUCUUACCCUCUUUCAAUAUGAAAUAUUGAAAGAUAACCAUAUGGUUGUUACUGCAUGAUAUAAACCCAUUCCAUCUUUAAGCUCCUACUCUAAAGAAAUGCCAACAAUAAGAUCUAAGUUAGUUUUUU
Molecule: long non-coding RNA, 631 nt
Organism: Lolium rigidum
Lineage: Eukaryota; Viridiplantae; Streptophyta; Magnoliopsida; Poales; Poaceae
Exons: 2
Source: RefSeq, a predicted model, not a curated record